Molecule: ribosomal RNA, 274 nt
Filed under: uncultured bacterium
Lineage: Bacteria
Description: partial 16S ribosomal RNA
Rfam family: Bacterial small subunit ribosomal RNA
Source: RNAcentral
AUACGGAGGGUGCAAGCGUUGUUCGGAAUUACUGGGCGUAAAGCGCGUGCAGGCGGUAAGGUAAGUCAGAUGUGAAAGCCCCGGGCUCGACCCGGGAAGUGCAUUUGAUACUGCCUUUCUUGAGUAUGGGAGAGGAGAGUGGAAUUCCCAGUGUAGAGGUGAAAUUCGUAGAUAUUGGGAGGAACACCCGUGGCGAAGGCGACUCUCUGGACCAAUACUGACGCUGAGACGCGAAAGCGUGGGGAGCGAACAGGAUUAGAUACCCUUGUAGUCC